GGGCGUCUAACUUUCUUCCUUCUCCUAUCUGAGAGUCCUUCCAAGAGAGGUUGCUAGUCUUUUCUGCUUCUAGUGUGUAUUGUUUCCUGCAUACACAAGAAACACACCCUAAAAGCACUUUUAAAGAAAAUAAAACAAAAUAGAAUAAAAACAAAUAAUUACAAACAAGUCAAAUGUCAAUCAAUUCACACUACUAAAAAUAACCUCGAGUCCCUGACAACGGCGCCAAAAACUUGUUGACUCACUGGCAAGUGUACCAGAUCGUGCAAGUAAUAUAAUCGGUAAAGCCCGAUAUCGUUCUUCCCAAGAGACUCGAAAGGAUCGUUCGUGUGAAUUAAAAUCGUAAGACUUGUAGAAAAAGAUUUAAUUGUUGUCAAUGCAAAGACAGAAAAUAAACAUGCAAUGUNUUUGAUUCAAUUGACGAAAAAGACUAUGGAUGAAUGGAGUUGUUGGGGGUUUACAAUUUCAUCUUAUUCACUCCCUCUUAUCUACUCCUCUUGUUUAAUGUGCUUGAUUAUCUAAUUGUUAUGCAAACUUUCUUGGCCUACCCUUAACCCGAUCCCUCGACGAAAAGAGCUUAUUACUAAUUAUCGGCUUGUUAUCCCUAUCCUUCCCUAGCAAUUAAUAAUGCAUUAAGAACAGAAGCAAAAACAAUUGAUCNUCCUACCCCCUAUCCCUAGGUUGGUAUUGCUUAAUCAAGGAAUUUCUCACCAGUUCAUGACAGUACUGUACGUUCCCGUAUCAAUAGAGACAAACAACAGUUAUCGAAUGAGUUAAACGAUAAAAGCAUUAAGCGCAGAUGAGAACCCAACAAUUGAUAAUUAAAGCAUAUGAAGAAUCAUAUAAAUAAACAAGAGUUUAAAUAAAAGAGAGUUUCAAAAGAUUACAUUGUUUCCCCCAACAACAAAAGGGUUUAGUUCACCAUUGUCAUGGUGAACUUAGAUGAAAAAUAAUGGAAGAAUGGAAAAGCAAACCCUAGAUAAGAUGAAAAGGAGUCUAAGCAUCCAAGAGAUCCUCUCCAGAGAGUGAAAAUUAGGUCUGCCUGUCCUCUUCUGUCAAAAGAAUGAGAAUGAAAUCGUAACAGGGCUAUUUAUAGCUGAGGAGCGUCACAGAAAACAGGCCCAGGCCCAGCGUACAAUCGCCCGACGGCACACUUAUGCCGCCCGGCGGUUUGCCUCUAAUCGCACCACCGCCCGGCGGUUUGCCUCUAAUCGCAAAUCCGCCCAACGCCCACGCCAGGUGCCUUCUCCUCGCCUUGGACCGCGCGACGGUGAAUUUUGUUGCCGGGCGGUUUCUUGACUCUUCUUUUCUUCAAUUUUCUUCCUCUAUCUUGAGUCUGAGACCUUCAUCUUCAACCCCAAUCUUCACUUUCAUCAAAAUCACUACAAAACAAUGCAAAACAAGCAUAAUAUCGCUAAAAACAGUUUUUGACUCUUGAUUGACUCAUUUAUUGAGUUUUACUUGAUUCUAAGCUCGUUCUAAGUCUUAAAGGGUGUAAUUUGGUCUAAAUUGACAUAUGAAAAUAAUUGUUU
Molecule: long non-coding RNA, 1532 nt
Filed under: Vigna radiata
Lineage: Eukaryota; Viridiplantae; Streptophyta; Magnoliopsida; Fabales; Fabaceae
Description: long non-coding RNA (VRAD_LNC008114)
Source: RNAcentral